Molecule: unclassified non-coding RNA, 301 nt
Filed under: Hevea brasiliensis (rubber tree)
Lineage: Eukaryota; Viridiplantae; Streptophyta; Magnoliopsida; Malpighiales; Euphorbiaceae
Source: RNAcentral
CAAACCCCAGUCAGAACGGUUGCAGUUUAGGGUAUAACGCUAUCCCUAAAAUAUUUCAUAUUUUUCAUCUGUUGCUUUGCCCUUCAUUCUCUCACUCUCACAGGUAGAGUUAUCUCUCUCGAAUUCAUAGUCGCCAGUGCUUUAUCUUCCUGUUCUUUUCUUCUUCUUCAAGACCCAUAUGAUAAAUCUGGUUUAGCAUGGAGAAAGUGGACACCGAUGUCAUAGAUCUACCCCUUAAACGUCUCAACUCUUGGGCCGCAGCGUCCCUCUUGCUGCAUUGUUGUGCUUCUUCUUCUUCUUC